GGUUUGUGGCUCAGUGGUAGAGUGCUUCCCUAGCAUGUGCAAGGCACUGGGUUCGAUCCUCAGCACCA
Molecule: transfer RNA, 68 nt
Filed under: Marmota monax (woodchuck)
Lineage: Eukaryota; Metazoa; Chordata; Mammalia; Rodentia; Sciuridae
Description: tRNA.Ala
Source: RNAcentral